Molecule: ribosomal RNA, 198 nt
Filed under: uncultured bacterium
Lineage: Bacteria
Description: partial 16S ribosomal RNA
Rfam family: Bacterial small subunit ribosomal RNA
Source: RNAcentral
UACUCCUACGGGAGGCAGCAGUGGGGAAUAUUGCACAAUGGGGGCAAGCCUGAUGCAGCCAUGCCGCGUGUGUGAAGAAGGCCUUCGGGUUGUAAAGCUCUUUCAGAGAGGAGGAAAGGGGGGGGCUAAUAUCCUGCGCGUGUGACGUUACCCGGAGAAGAAGCACCGGCUAACUCCGUGCCAGCAGCCGCGGUAAUA